RNAcentral lists this long non-coding RNA (693 nucleotides) under Macaca mulatta (Rhesus monkey). RNAcentral's name for it is "lncRNA (ENSMMUG00000062479.1)". The record is from RNAcentral. Lineage: Eukaryota; Metazoa; Chordata; Mammalia; Primates; Cercopithecidae.
AUGUUUCUCCCCCAGCUCUCCUUGACUGACUUUUCUGAAUCCCCUGCUGCAUCUACUGAACUCAGUAUCACACUUAACUUAGCUUUGUUUGAUUCAACCUGCCACACAGUUCACCAGCCUGGAUCUUGUUGAUGAAGCUCAUUAUCCAUAAAUCACUACCUGCAUUGUCUAAUUUAAGAUCCAAGACUUAUGGAAAUGGAAGUGAACAGCUGUUCAACUGUCAAGUCACCAGCUAAAUUCAAGUCUGAGAAAAGAAGACAAUCUGUUUAAAUGAAACUGUGUGUGAAUGAAGGCCAGGGUUUUUGGCACUUGUGUUUGGAAAAAAAAAAAAAGAAAAAAUAUAAAACAAUUGUUACUAAAAUAAAUAAUCUUUUUCUAGGAUGACCUUUGUUUGUUUAAACUGUUGGAAAAUCAAUAUUUAAAAUGAAAUCUAGAAACUGAAGUGUGCCCUCUGCAGGGUCACCAGAGUGAUGGGAAAAUUGAACACAAUCAACUCAUGAACUCCCCAAGGUCAGAGGUUUGGUCUAAUUCAAUAACUAAUAUCUAGAAGGUAUUCUAGAAAAAUUCAUGUUGACAGAGUGAGCAAAAGGAACAAAGAAACCCAGGAGUCACAUUUCAUGCCUGUAUUAGUCUGUUCUCACACUGUUAAUAAAGACAUACCUGAGACUAGGUAAUUUAUAAAGGAAAGAGGUG